This 924-nucleotide ribosomal RNA is filed under the name uncultured bacterium. Its description in RNAcentral is "bacterial SSU rRNA". It matches the Rfam family "Bacterial small subunit ribosomal RNA", at positions 1 to 916 of the family's 1533-position model. The record is from RNAcentral. RNAcentral also lists the same sequence under 1 other name.
GGAUCCAGACUUUGAUCCUGGCUCAGGAUGAACGCUAGCUACAGGCUUAACACAUGCAAGUCGAGGGGAAACGAUAUUGGAAGCUUGCUUCCGAUAGGCGUCGACCGGCGCACGGGUGAGUAACGCGUAUCCAACCUGCCCAUCACUUGGGGAUAACCUUGCGAAAGUAAGACUAAUACCCAAUGAUAUCUCUAGAAGACAUCUGAGGGAGAUUAAAGAUUCAUCGGUGAUGGAUGGGGAUGCGUCUGAUUAGCUUGUUGGCGGGGUAACGGCCCACCAAGGCGACGAUCAGUAGGGGUUCUGAGAGGAAGGUCCCCCACAUUGGAACUGAGACACGGUCCAAACUCCUACGGGAGGCAGCAGUGAGGAAUAUUGGUCAAUGGGCGAGAGCCUGAACCAGCCAAGUAGCGUGCAGGAUGACGGCCCUAUGGGUUGUAAACUGCUUUUAUAAGGGAAUAAAGUGAGCCUCGUGAGGCUUUUUGCAUGUACCUUAUGAAUAAGGACCGGCUAAUUCCGUGCCAGCAGCCGCGGUAAUACGGAAGGUCCGGGCGUUAUCCGGAUUUAUUGGGUUUAGAGGGAGCGUAGGCCGGAGAUUGAGCGUGUUGUGAAAUGUAGAUGCUCAACAUCUGCACUGCAGCGCGAACUGGUUUCCUUGAGUACGCACAGAGUGGGCGGAAUUCGUGGUGUAGCGGUGAAAUGCUUAGAUAUCACGAAGAACUCCGAUUGCGAAGGCAGCUCACUGGAGCGCAACUGACGCUGAAGCUCGAAAGUGCGGGUAUCGAACAGGAUUAGAUACCCUGGUAGUCCGCACGGUAAACGAUGGAUGCCCGCUGUUGGUCUGAAUAGGUCAGCGGCCAAGCGAAAGCAUUAAGCAUCCCACCUGGGGAGUACGCCGGCAACGGUGCAACUCAAAGGAAUUGACGG